RNAcentral lists this ribosomal RNA (402 nucleotides) under uncultured bacterium. RNAcentral's name for it is "partial 16S ribosomal RNA". It matches the Rfam family "Bacterial small subunit ribosomal RNA", at positions 28 to 525 of the family's 1533-position model. The record is from RNAcentral.
GACGAACGCUGGCGGCGUGCCUAAUACAUGCAAGUCGAACGCAGUGGGGACGGGUGAGUAACACGUGGGUAACCUCCCAUCAGAGGGGAUAACACUUGGAAACAGGUGCUAAACCGAUACUGAUGGAUGGACCCGCGGUGCAUUAGCUAGUUGGUGAGGUAACGGCUCACCAAGGCCACGAUGCAUAGCCGACCUGACGGGGGGAUCGGCCACACUGGGAGUGAGACCCGGCCCAGACUCCGACGGGAGGCAGCAGUAGGGAAUCUUCGGCAAUGGACGAAAGUCUGACCCAGCAACGCCGCGUGAGUGAAGAAGGUUUUCGGGUCGUAAAACUCUGUUGUUAGAGAAGCGGUAUCUAACGAGAAAGCCACGGCUAACUACGUGCCAGCGGCGGGGUAAAUA